This 954-nucleotide ribosomal RNA is filed under the name Cortinarius alboviolaceus. RNAcentral describes it as "eukaryotic LSU rRNA". It matches the Rfam family "Eukaryotic large subunit ribosomal RNA", at positions 1 to 935 of the family's 3401-position model. Lineage: Eukaryota; Fungi; Basidiomycota; Agaricomycetes; Agaricales; Cortinariaceae. The record is from RNAcentral.
UGUGACCUCAAAUCAGGUAGGACUACCCGCUGAACUUAAGCAUAUCAAUAAGCGGAGGAAAAGAAACUAACAAGGAUUCCCCUAGUAACUGCGAGUGAAGCGGGAAAAGCUCAAAUUUAAAAUCUGGCGGUCUUUCGGCUGUCCGAGUUGUAAUCUAGAGAAGUGUUAUCCGCGCUGGACCGUGUACAAGUCUCCUGGAAUGGAGCAUCAUAGAGGGUGAGAAUCCCGUCUUUGACAUGGACUGCCAGGGCUUUGUGAUGCGCUCUCAAAGAGUCGAGUUGUUUGGGAAUGCAGCUCAAAAUGGGUGGUAAAUUCCAUCUAAAGCUAAAUAUUGGCGAGAGACCGAUAGCGAACAAGUACCGUGAGGGAAAGAUGAAAAGAACUUUGGAAAGAGAGUUAAACAGUACGUGAAAUUGCUGAAAGGGAAACGCUUGAAGUCAGUCGCGUCGUCCAGGGAUCAACCUUGCUUUUGCUUGGUGCACUUUCUGGUUCGAUGGGUCAGCAUCAAUUUUGACUGUUGGAAAAAGGUCGAGGGAAUGUGGCAUCUUUGGAUGUGUUUAUAGCCCUUGGUCACAUACAAUGGUUGGGAUUGAGGAACUCAGCACGCCGCAAGGCCGGGUUUUAAACCACGUACGUGCUUAGGAUGCUGGCAAUAUGGCUUUAAUCGACCCGUCUUGAAACACGGACCAAGGAGUCUAACAUGCCUGCGAGUGUUUGGGUGGAAAACCCGAGCGCGUAAUGAAAGUGAAAAGUUGAGAUCCCUGUCGUGGGGAGCAUCGACGCCCGGACCAGACCUUUUGUGACGGUUCCGCGGUAGAGCAUGUAUGUUGGGACCCGAAAGAUGGUGAACUAUGCCUGAAUAGGGUGAAUCCAGAGGAAACUCUGGUGGAGGCUCGUAGCGAUUCUGACGUGCAAAUCGAUCGUCAAAUUUGGGUAUAGGGGCGAAAGACUAAU